UUAUUCUACUCUACAUUAGUUGAAUUUCAAGAUUUCUGAUUUCACUCUCAGCGGCUGUCAAAUUGAUCCUCGUUCAAUCACUUUGUUCCCAUCGAUCAAAUACAAACUAACAUUAGGAAGAGAGUUGGUAUCCUCGGGUUACCGUAUAUGGAAUUCACAUGGUGAUGCACUGGGAAUACCUUUCAUUAGGAAUGAACCAGUUGAAGAAAUUAUUAAUUAGUACUGAUAAUAACACUGAUAAUAGGAUUAGUGUUACCUUGUUUGUUGUGUGGUUUUUAUACAUGAUGAUUUAUUGAUUAUUUUGUAUGAUAAUGAAUUGUAUUGCUACAUAUUAUUCAUA
Amphimedon queenslandica is the source of this 340-nucleotide long non-coding RNA. RefSeq lists it as uncharacterized. The transcript has 2 exons. The record is from RefSeq and is a predicted model, not a curated record. Lineage: Eukaryota; Metazoa; Porifera; Demospongiae; Haplosclerida; Niphatidae.